RNAcentral lists this long non-coding RNA (410 nucleotides) under Mytilus galloprovincialis (Mediterranean mussel). Lineage: Eukaryota; Metazoa; Mollusca; Bivalvia; Mytilida; Mytilidae. The record is from RNAcentral.
UGCCGUCGGAGCUUAAAAUACAAUAUUGUUAUCUCCAUUCUAAUGAAACUGACAGAAAAUAACGUUAAAACAUGUAUUUAAAAUCUGUCAUAUGCCGUCUGCGCUUGCGCGUACGUCCCAUAGCAUCAAUUGUCAAUUGAUGCCAUGUAAGAAAAUGACGUUAUCCAAUCAAAAUGAACGUUACAAACGUUGUUGCAUUAGAAUAUAAAUUAAAUAUUCUCAUGCAUUUCAAAGCAUGUCUGUUCCGGCCGUGAAGUAAAUAUUUAUGUUUUAUCAUAUAACCUCCUUGCAUAUAUUUAGUGGUCUUCAAAACUGAGAUUUAUGUAUCUCUUAUUCGCUGGACGUUUUAUAUAGACUGAUUUUUAUCACAUUUAUUUUCGUGACAUAACAGCUAGACACUACCAAACCCC